UAACGAAUCUUCCGCAAUGGGCGAAAGCCUGACGGAGCAAUGCCGCGUGUGGGAUGAAGCGCCUUCGGCGUGUAAACCACUGUCAGGGAAUGGAACCAAUGAUUAUUCCCAAAGGAAGUGGCGACUAACUCUGUGCCAGCAGUCGCGGUAAUACAGAGGCCACAAGCGUUAGUCGGAAUCACUGGGCUUAAAGGGUGCGUAGGCGGGCCCGCAAGCGUCUUGUGAAAUCCCAUGGCUCAACCAUGGAAUUGCAGGGCGAACUGCGGGUCUUGAGGCAGGUAGGGGCCGGAAGAACAGUAGGUGGAGCGGUGAAAUGCGUAGAUAUCUACUGGAAUGCCGAUGGGGAAGCCGUCCGGCUGGGCCUGUCCUGACGCUGAGGCACGAAAGCGUGGGGAGCAAACAGGAUUAGAUACCCCAGUAGUCCCUGAGCGGGCUGGCAAGGCGCAU
RNAcentral lists this ribosomal RNA (447 nucleotides) under uncultured bacterium. RNAcentral's name for it is "bacterial SSU rRNA". It matches the Rfam family "Bacterial small subunit ribosomal RNA", at positions 355 to 825 of the family's 1533-position model. The record is from RNAcentral.